RNAcentral lists this unclassified non-coding RNA (1233 nucleotides) under Haliotis rubra (blacklip abalone). RNAcentral describes it as "tripartite motif-containing protein 2-like, transcript variant X2". The record is from RNAcentral. Lineage: Eukaryota; Metazoa; Mollusca; Gastropoda; Lepetellida; Haliotidae.
UGUGUCUUCCAGAAUGGACACCUUCCCGAAGUGUUCUGUCUGUCAGCGGCAGUUUACCCUGAAAAGCCCCGCCCCUACCUACUGCCCUGUCUACACGCUGUGUGUGAGACGUGUGUGACAACUGCUGCUAGUGGCGUGAUAUCAUGCUCUACAUGUCACAGGGAGGUCAACCUCACGGAAGCAAGUCUCAGAAGGAUGAAGUUAGGCAACAAGAAAUAUUCCACCUGGCAAUCAAACAUUAUCCCACAAAGCUUCUCUGUACACAUGAAGAUGACGGAAACCAGGCUGUGUUUUGGUGUCAGGAGUGUGAGGAGUUACUCUGUGAAUUCUGCCAGAACAUGCACAACAGCUUCAGACACUCAAGAAACCACCCCUUGUACAACUUUGGGGGAUAUUGCCCCUCAAAAUCUAGUGUGUGAAACAAAUUGCAGAAUACACAAUCGUUAUCCUCUUGAUUUGUUUGACAAAAGAUGCAACACAUCUAUCUGUAGCCGAUGUUUGAGAGGAGAGCAUGCUGGUCACGAGGUGGAAGAUCUGGAUGAGGCAGCUUUAGGAGGUAAACAACGGAUUGAACAACACGUCAAAGAUCUAUCCUCGCUACUGUCUGAUCAGCAAACACAUCUUCAGAGCAUCAGACAAGACAUAAAGUUUACAGACGGGACACAGAACACACUGACGGAAACUAUUGCACUGACGUUCCAGUCGUUAAGGUCUCAACUUGACCAGAGGGAGAAAGAACUCCUGAUAGAUCUUGAAAGUCAGACAAAGGAAACCAAGGAAACUCUACAUGCUCUUCAAACCUCGUGUGAAACCGAACAUGUCAGAUGCAACGAUGUUUCAGGAUACAUUAGGAAGAGUCUUCUCUAUGCCUCGAAGUCGGCACUCCUGAAGCUUGAGAGUUCUGUUGAUAGGGUAACUCGGACCUACCUAGAAACUGCUUCACCUCAAACAUAUGAUGUUGCAACAGCUGUCUUCAACACCAACGGUCUGUCCAAACUGAAGUCAGAUAUGUCUGGAUUUGGUACCAUCACUGCUUUGAAAGAGGAAACAGCAAGAGACAGGACCGAUGAUGCUAGCUGAGAAAGACAGAAGCUUACAGGCCGCUUCAGAAACUAUCAAUCGUCUACAAACAUUCCUGAAUAGUUGCCCUACUGGAGGCUGCGUCCAUGUGCUGAAGACGGCUGUGCCAGACAGACACAUGGUGCUGCAUUGUGAGUACAUAAUUACAUCUAU